UACGAAGGGGGCUAGCGUUGCUCGGAAUUACUGGGCGUAAAGCGCACGUAGGCGGUUUCUUAAGUCGGGGGUGAAAUCCUGGAGCUCAACUCCAGAACUGCCUUCGAUACUGGGAAACUUGAGUCCGGGAGAGGUGAGUGGAACUGCGAGUGUAGAGGUGAAAUUCGUAGAUAUUCGCAAGAACACCAGUGGCGAAGGCGGCUCCACGUGCCCGUGUCGUACGCUGAGGUGCGAAAGCGAGGGGAGCAAACGGG
RNAcentral lists this ribosomal RNA (254 nucleotides) under uncultured bacterium. RNAcentral describes it as "partial 16S ribosomal RNA". It matches the Rfam family "Bacterial small subunit ribosomal RNA", at positions 524 to 776 of the family's 1533-position model. The record is from RNAcentral.